GCAAGGCGAGGGGAAACGACAUCGAAAGCUUGCUUUUGAUGGGCGUCGACCGGCGCACGGGUGAGUAACGCGUAUCCAACCUGCCCACCACUUGGGAAUAGCCUUGCGAAAGUAAGACUAAUACCCAAUGAUAUCUCUAGAAGACAUCUGAAAGAGAUUAAAGAUUUAUCGGUGAUGGAUGGGGAUGCGUCUGAUUAGCUUGUUGGCGGGGUAGCGGCCCACCAAGGCGACGAUCAGUAGGGGUUCUGAGAGGAAGGUCCCCCACAUUGGAACUGAGACACGGUCCAAACUCCUACGGGAGGCAGCAGUGAGGAAUAUUGGUCAAUGGGCGAGAGCCUGAACCAGCCAAGUAGCGUGCAGGAAGACGGCCCUAUGGGUUGUAAACUGCUUUUAUAAGGGAAUAAAGUGAGUCUCGUGAGACUUUUUGCAUGUACCUUAUGAAUAAAGACCGGCUAAUUCCGUGCCAGCAGCCGCGGUAAUACGGAAGGUCCGGGCGUUAUCCGGAUUUAUUGGGUUUAAAGGGAGCGUAGGCCGGAGAUUAAGCGUGUUGUGAAAUGUAGACGCUCAACGUCUGCACUGCAGCGCGAACUGGUUUCCUUGAGUACGCACAAAGUGGGCGGAAUUCGUGGUGUAGCGGUGAAAUGCUUAGAUAUCACGAAGAAC
This 663-nucleotide ribosomal RNA is filed under the name uncultured Bacteroidota bacterium. RNAcentral's name for it is "bacterial SSU rRNA". It matches the Rfam family "Bacterial small subunit ribosomal RNA", at positions 57 to 707 of the family's 1533-position model. The record is from RNAcentral. Lineage: Bacteria; Pseudomonadati; Bacteroidota.